RNAcentral lists this ribosomal RNA (301 nucleotides) under uncultured bacterium. RNAcentral's name for it is "partial 16S ribosomal RNA". It matches the Rfam family "Bacterial small subunit ribosomal RNA", at positions 509 to 807 of the family's 1533-position model. The record is from RNAcentral.
CAGUAGCCGCGGGAAAACGAGGGGUGCAAGCGUUAUUCGGAUUGAUUGGGUGUAAAGGGUGUGCAGACGGCUUAUUAAGUCACUUGUUAAAUUCUUCGGCCUAACUGAAGGUCUGCAAGUGAUACUGAUGAGCUAGAGGGUGGAAGAGAGAAGUGGAAUUCUCGGAGUAGCGGUAAAAUGCGUAGAUCUCGAGAGGAACACCAAUGGCGAAGGCAGCUUCUUGGUCCAUUCCUGACGUUCAUACACGAAAGCGUGGGGAGCAAACAGGAUUAGAUACCCCAGUAGUCCCUGUCUCUUAUAC